CUACACUUCAAUUAAGCCGUACAGUGGAUGGUUGGGCUGCAACAGCGACGAAGGGCGUGGCAAGCUGCGAUAAGCCCGGGGUAGGAGCAUGCAUCCUUUGAGCCCGGGAUUCCCGAAUUACCUCGAGAGAGGGGCGUCACCCGCCGAAUUGAAAUAUCUUAGUAAGCGGAGGAAGAGAUACCAACCGGUAUACCGCGAGUAGUGCGAACGAAAGCGGCUCAGGGCAAACCGAAUCCUUCGGGCGACCGGAGUAGAGAUGUGGUGUUCGGGCCGGAUUUUACUCUCGUGAACUUAGCCGAAGUCCCCUGGAAAGGGGCGUCAUAGACCGUGAUAGCCGGGUAGGCGAAGAGUGAGCGAGUGGUUCCGGUACCCAGAGUAGUGCUCCCCGGUUUGGGAGUACGAACGCGCCAGACAUUAACUGGCAACCCUAAACAUACUUGCAGACCGAUAGCGCAUAGUACUGUAAAGGAAAACUGAAAAGCACCGCGAAAGCGGGGUUAAAAGUGCCUGAAACUGUUAACGGCGACAACAAGACGCGGCGUGAAAGGAAUGAUAUGACCGGCGUUGCGUCAUCGCUCUCGAAGCAGCAGCCAAGGAGUUCAAGGCAGUGGCGAGCAUUGGGCGAAGCGAAAGCGAAUAUCCGCAACCACUUCGAGUGGCCAGGGAUGCGGUCUUAAUCGGCCGCUAGUCACUGUUUUGAGACCCGAAUCCGAAGCGAGCUAAGCACGGGCAGGGCGAAGCCGACCUUCCGGUUGGUGGAGGCCCGCAACUAGUGAUGGUCUAUCCUCUUAGGUGACCUGUGUUUAGGGGUGAAAUUCCAUACGAGCUCGGUAAUAGCGGGUUCCCGUUGAAGUGAACCGCAGUUCAGCCUCGGCAGAGCUGGAGGACGGGUAGAGCUACGGAUUUGAAGGAAUGGGGGAGUGAUUCCUCGCCUUCUUGUCAAACUCCGAACCGUGCCUCGGCGCAGAAGCCGGGAGUUGGGGGUGCGAGUUAAGCGCGUACUCCGAGGGGGGAAUGACCCCAACUGCAAUUAAGGUCCCAAAGAAACGGCUAAGUGUUAACCAGCAAGAUGUCUUAUUUCUUAGACAGCGGGGAGGUAGGAACAGAAGCUGCCAUCCUUUAAACAACGCGUAACAGCGGACCCGUCAAGAUUUGAGGCGUCGUAAACUCUCGGGACUAAAGCCGUUCACCGACAUUGUGGAUUCGCAGCCGUCGGCUGCGAAUAGUAAACGGGCGUGCGGGCCGGGCCGAAGCAAGGCCGUAAGGUCUUGUAGACCGGUUUGCAACGAAGAUCUUGGUAUUAGUAGCAUCAAUUCCAGGCGAGAAUCCUGGACGCCGAAAGGGCUAGGUUUUCUUGGCAACGCUAGUCGACCAAGAGUAAGUCGGUCCUAACUCUAAACGUAAUCGUGAAGGGGAAAGGGAAACGCGUUAACAAUCGUGUACCUAUCUGGCGCACGCGGCAACGCUAGCCACUCUUCUAACGCUUGCGGACAAGCCCGGCCGUCAUGUGGCGGCUUAACCUGACCAGGCCAACGAAGUCUCAUUACGAGGAGCAGUUGGUUAAGCAGGGAAUCGGGUUGAUUCCGUGAGCCCAUGAAAAGGAAGAUGGAAGUAUUCAGAUAGACCGUACCGAGAACCAGUACAGGUGACCCUGGCGGAAAAAGCUAAGGCGUGGCAGGAGAAUCAAGGUAAGGGAAUUCGGCAAAUUAGCCCUGUACCUUUGGUAUAAGGGGUGCCUACAUUAUUGUCUGAGAUUCGUCAAGGAUGGUUUUGUAGGUCGCAGUGACUAGGGGAUUCCGACUGUUUAUCUAAAACACAGGUCGUCGCAAAGUGGAAACGCUGUGUACGGCGGCUGACGCGUGCUCACUGGCAGUAUCUCAAAGCGGGUUCCAACCCGCCAAAGGACUGCUAAAGAGCGGGAGUAACUCUGACUCUCUUAAGGUAGCGUAAUACCUCGCCGCUUAAUUGGCGGCUUGCAUGAAUCGCGUAACGUGAUUCCCACUGUCCCUAUCUUGAACCUGGUGAACUUACUUCUCGGUGAACAUGCCGAGGACUCCCAGCGGGAAACGAAGACCCCGUGGAGCUUAACCACAACUUGUUGUUGAAUCGUGGUCGGCGAAUCAAAGCGUAAGCAGGAGCCGUUACGCGCCCCGUUCCGGCGAGGGCGAUAGGCGAAAGUGUGACACUGCUAUUCGCUAACUACGAUUCUAACCCCCCGAAAGGGGGGGACAUCUGCAGGCGGGUGGUUUGACUGGGGCGGUACGCCUUCGAUAAGAAAACAAAGGCGCCCAAAGGUCGACUCAAGCGCGUCAGAAAUGCGCUGUAGAGGGUCAAAGACAAAUGUCGGCCUGACUGAGACCUUAAAAAAAUGGGUCGCAGGCACGAAAGUGGGGCUUAACGAACAAACAUGCUCCCCAUUAAUGGGGGCUGUUUCUGACAGACAAGCUACCCCGGGGGUAACAGGCUUGUCGCGGUCGAGAGUUCAUAUCGACACCGCGGUUUGGUACAUCGCUAUCGGCUUAGGUCAUCCUGGCGGUGCAGGAGCCGCCAAGGGUUGGGUUGUUCAUCCAUUAAAGACCUACAUUAGUUGGGUUCAGAACGUCGCGAGACAGUUCGGUGGCAUCUGCUGGGAGUGCUUAGUCAACUGAGGGGAAGGAACUCCAAGUACGAGAGGAACGGGGUUUCGGCGCCACUAGUAAGCCUGCUCUCCACAGGGAAGCAGGGUAGCCACGCGCCACUCGGAUAAGUCCUGAAGGCAUCUAAGGACGAAGCCGGACCCAAAACGAGUUGACUCCGGUCACCCGCUAGCAGACGGGUUUGAUAGGCUGGAAGUGUAAGCGCGAAGCCGCAAGGCGACGCGUUCAGCUAACCAGUACUAACGACCGAUUCGUAGCACCA
Molecule: non-coding RNA, 2898 nt
Organism: Candidatus Micrarchaeota archaeon CG1_02_55_41
Lineage: Archaea; Nanobdellati; Microcaldota
Source: Rfam